CGCGCACGGACAGUCACUCGUCAGACGUCUAACAGGGUGGGUGUGCUUCGCGGUGGAAGUAAGUUCAUCUCUCUUUCUCUUUCUUUUAUAUUUCUCUCUCUCUUUCUCUCCAUAUCUCGCGGAUAUCGCAACGGGACGGCGUGCAAAGACACAAAACGGAGGCGCGCACUCGUCGGAACUCCGCUGUGCGCGCGUGUGUGCGUGUGUGUUCGUGCGUGCGCGUACGUGCAGUACGUACGUACGUGCAUGCGUGCGUGCGUACGUGCGUGCGUGCGUGCAUGCGUGCGUGCCCAGCCAGCCACAGCCAGCUAGUCAACCAUCCACACGGUCUGUCUCUCACUCUGUCGGCAGCGCAGCUGAACCUCGCGCCGCAGUCAUCGCUGACCGCGUUGUACAGGUUCCUUGCGUCGGGAAAUGGAGCUCGAGCAGGCGGCGCCGCAGGUGAACCUGGACCCGGAAAGGAAGACCAAGGAGAGCGGCGGCGGCGUCUCCGGGAAUCACAGUGAUCAUAUCAAUGGCAUGACCAACGGUUUUGAUAAAAAAAGGGAACACAAAUCUGAGCACAGAGACAAAGAUAAGGAGCGAUCUCACAAAUCGGAUCAUAAGGAUAAAGAUCGAAGCAGAGAAAAGGACAAAAAUCACAAGAGUGAACACAGAGAUAAGGACAAAGAUAAGCACAGACAUAGCUCCAGUUCCGUUAAGGAUAAGGAGAAGCACGAUGGAAGCAAUAAUAGGGAUAAAGACAAGGACAAAAAGAGCUCCUCGUCUAGUAAGGACAAGGAACAUAAAAGUAGUUCAUCCAGUAAGGAUAAAGAAAAGGACAAGAACAGAGACAAGGAACAUCAUCACAAAUCGAGUUCCAAAGAUAAGGACAGGCAUCAUAGCAGUUCUAAGGACAAAGACAGUUCGAGCAAAGAUAAGGACAAGGACGCCAAGAGUAAGGAUAAAGAUAGACAUAGACACAGUAGUUCCUUGAACUCUAGCUCGCGUGACAAAGACAAGGAUCGAAGUAUUUCGAAGGACAAGGAUAAGGAUGGCAAAAAACAUUCGGAAAAGGACAAGGAUAGACAUUCCACUUCUCACUCUUUGGGCGAUAAAGAAAAACAUCGUUCGUCGGAAAAAGACAAGCAUAGAGAAAGUUCUAGCAGCAAAGAUAAACAUCGUCAUGAAAAAGAUAGAGACCGCCACCGUCACGACAAGGAUAAAUCUAAGCAUCGCGAGGAAAGAGAAAAGAAGGAUAAGGAGGAGAUUAAAAUAAAGGAAGAACCAAACGUGAAAAUGAAUCACUCAAUUAACGAAGGAUUUCAUUACAAUACAGAAAUCAAAUCUGAGAUAAAAGAGGAACCUAUGACACAACCAGAUUUAGACGAUGAUGAUGACAGUGGCGGCGAGCGACCGUUGUAUAUCAAAGAGGAUGACGAUGAUGAACCGAUCAAGGAGGAUGUUAGUAUGGAUUCGACCGACGGAAAUGAUACCAGAUUAUCAGAUCUUCAUAAUACAACUUUAAAAACGGAAGAAGAAUCAGAAGAGGAUAAACCAUUGUUUUCAAGAUCGAAGGUAUUGCCAAACGUGAAGAGAAAGAUUGACUCGGAUGAAGAUGAAGACGUUCCACUGUCAGCACGUAAGAAAUCCAAAAAACCGGCUACUAGCCAGAAGACAAAGAAAAAGAAACGAAAAUAUGGAGAUGACGAUGAUUCUGACGCCGAGGCUGAAGAGACACAGAAACCAAAGAAGAAGAAUACAAAGGUGAAAACGGAAGGUGGUAGCCCGAGGAAAAAGAAGCAAGAGGAGGAGCAAGAAGUUUGGAAAUGGUGGGAGGAAGAGAAGAAGAGUGAUGGCACGAAAUGGUAUUUCUUGGAGCACAAGGGACCAGUAUUUGCGCCACCCUACGAACCUUUGCCUCCCACCGUCAAGUUUUAUUAUAAUGGCAAGGAGAUGAAGUUAAGCCAAGAUACAGAGGAGGUAGCGACUUUCUAUGCGCGUAUGCUGGAUCAUGAUUAUACGACCAAGGCUACGUUCAAUAAUAACUUCUUUCAUGAUUGGCGAGAAGUGAUGACUGAAUCAGAACGUGCCAAGAUUACUGAUCUGACCAAGUGCAACUUCAAGGAGAUGCAUGCAUACUUUGUCCAGAAGAGCGAAGAACGCAAGGCUAUGACGAAGGAAGAAAAGCAGAAGAUUAAGGAGAAGAAUGAGGAGAUACAGAAGGAAUAUGGCUUUUGUUCUAUCGAUGGGCAUAAGGAAAAAAUUGGUAACUUCAAAAUUGAACCACCUGGCUUGUUCAGGGGUCGGGGUGAGCAUCCCAAAAUGGGUAAGCUGAAGAAGCGUGUGUUGCCAGAGGACGUGCUCAUUAAUUGCUCAAAAGACUCGAAUAUACCGAAACCACCGUCCGGUCACAAAUGGAAGGAAGUGCGACACGAUCCUAAUGUCACAUGGCUUGCAUCUUGGACAGAAAACGUUCAAGGCCAAGUGAAGUACGUGAUGUUAAACCCGUCUAGCAAGCUUAAAGGUGAGAAGGACUGGCAGAAGUAUGAGACAGCGCGAAAACUGGCGCAAUCGAUUGACAAAAUCCGCGCCGAAUAUCGAGAGGAUUGGAAAAGUAAAGAAAUGCGCAUUAGGCAACGAGCCGUUGCUCUUUACUUCAUCGACAAACUAGCGCUUAGGGCUGGCAACGAGAAGGAUGAGGAUCAGGCAGAUACCGUGGGUUGCUGUUCGUUGCGAGUGGAGCAUAUCAAGCUGCAUGAACAAAAGGAUGGCAAGGAAUAUGUCGUUGUAUUUGAUUUCUUAGGUAAAGAUUCCAUACGGUAUUAUAACGAGGUACCAGUGGAAAAGCGCGUAUUUAAAAACCUGCAGCUCUUUAUGGAGAAUAAAUCACCCGGAGAUGAUCUGUUCGACCGUCUCAAUACUACCGUGAUGAACAAACAUCUGAAUGAAUUAAUGGAAGGUCUCACCGCUAAAGUAUUCAGAACUUAUAACGCGUCGUGGACGUUGCAACAGCAGCUCGACAAAUUGACAGAUCCAAACGACGUGGAGGCAGAAAAGAUUCUUUCCUAUAAUCGAGCCAAUCGCGCCGUUGCCAUACUGUGUAACCAUCAGCGUUCUGUGCCAAAGACGCACGCGAAAUCCAUGGAGAACUUGAAGGCAAAGAUUGAUGCGAAGAAAGAGGCGAUAGCCGAGUGCGAGUUGCAAGUGAAAGAUGCCAAACGUGAUGCGAAACACGGUUCGGUGAAAGAAAAAGUAACAUAUGAAAAGAAGAAGAAACAGCUGGAAAGGUUGAAGGAACAAUUGACGAAGCUAGAGGUCCAAGCGACUGAUCGAGAGGAGAAUAAAGAGAUCGCGCUGGGUACCUCCAAACUGAAUUAUCUCGAUCCUAGAAUUUCUGUUGCAUGGUGUAAAAAGCACAAUGUCCCGAUCGAGAAGAUUUAUAACAAGACUCAAAGGGAUAAAUUCCGAUGGGCAAUAGACAUGGCGGGCCCUGACUAUGUGUUUUAACCCUGUGGUUUAUCAUCAUCGUCAUCGUAAUUAAUGCCAUUGCAUGUCGGUUUAUGAGGAAAGUACACCUCCUGCUGACGAUGUAUUUAGUGAAUUUUACGUUCUAACGAGAAGCCAGGAGACUUAAAAGUAAGACAGAAAGAAAGAAAGAUAAAAAGAACAAAAGAUGAACAGUGUAACGAUACAGAAAAAUUUUUUUACACUUACAUGGUAUAAAUGUGAGAAAGUGUGGGAACAUAUUUUCUAUAGGAUGAUAUACGUCACAUACGUAUUGAAUCACGUUGCGAUUAGUAUAUCUAAAGUGAUGUGAUUAAACGCGUUAGGUUCGAAGAGAGAAUUAGUCUAGAAUUGAUUAAAAAGAAGAAAGAUCGUUAAAUUUAUAAAUUGCAUGGGCGCAACGAUUGAUUCUGUGAGGAGCACAGAGAUUUCGCGCCGAUCUCGCGAAAGCUACAACUGCGUUAUUGUACAUAUAUAUAGGACACAUUCAUGUGAGUGAGACGCAAAUACACAAUUUAUGCUAUGUCGAUAUUUAAAAAAAAAAAGAAAAAGGGGAAAAGAAGAAAAAGAAACAAACUUUUUAAAUAGGCAGCUGAUAAAUUUUGUAUUUCCCUUAAUGAGUAUACACAUGUAAACACAACUUGUUUCUCUCUCAUAAAUGUAUGAUAAUGUCAUUCAUCAACCACAUUUACAUUUUACAGCAUCGUGUUGAGGACAUUAUAUGUAUUCGUAGAACGUAUUCAAUAUUGCGCACUCCUUUUUUGAUAUAUAAAUGAUGAGGCAGA
This 4271-nucleotide unclassified non-coding RNA is filed under the name Pogonomyrmex barbatus (red harvester ant). RNAcentral describes it as "dNA topoisomerase 1, transcript variant X3". The record is from RNAcentral. Lineage: Eukaryota; Metazoa; Arthropoda; Insecta; Hymenoptera; Formicidae.